RNAcentral lists this non-coding RNA (63 nucleotides) under Ixodes ricinus (castor bean tick). The record is from RNAcentral. Lineage: Eukaryota; Metazoa; Arthropoda; Arachnida; Ixodida; Ixodidae.
CAUCCCCUGGAUGUGAACCCGAGCGCCGGGGUCGGGGGACGUUUGUACCCAUUUAGCCGGUGG